GACAGAGGUGCCGAGCGUUAGGCGGAAUCACUGGGCUUAAAGCGUGUGUAGGCGGACCGUUAAGUACCUUGUGAAAAUCCCCCCGGCUCAACCGGGGAACGGCUGGGUAUACUGGCGGUCUUGAGCCAUCCAGGGGCAGUCGGAACAGACGGUGGAGCGGUGAAAUGCGUAGAUAUCGUCUGGAACGCCGAAGGUGAAAACAGACUGCUGGGGAUGCGCUGACGCUGAGACACGAAAGCCAGGGGAGCGAACGGGAU
RNAcentral lists this ribosomal RNA (257 nucleotides) under uncultured bacterium. Its description in RNAcentral is "partial 16S ribosomal RNA". It matches the Rfam family "Bacterial small subunit ribosomal RNA", at positions 524 to 778 of the family's 1533-position model. The record is from RNAcentral.